CAAUACACUUAACAAGACAAUUCUACUUAAAUCUUUCAACUUCUUUGGAUCUUGACUACAUGGUUGGAAGAGUACUAGUCACCGUGAUAGAGAGAGACAGAGGAAGAAAGAAUAUUCUAAUACAUAGUUUUGGGUUGUCUUGGAUGUGAAUCAUGUUAGAUCCAUUUAAACCCAAUAUAUGAGUGUUGGAUGUGGGUCAGGUUAGAUGCAUUUAAACCAUAAUAGCCCUUAAUCCCAAUCUUUUUAGUGACUAGAUUUGAUGUUCUUAAGUUCAAAUUGACUGAAUGUCUAGAUUUGUCAGCUACUUCUUUUAGCAUGGUUUAGUCAACUAAUUGUUCAUGUUAUACUUUUUUAAGCAUGAACUAUUCAAAACAUAGAUCAUAUUCAAUCUAAAGGAUUGAGUUUUUAGAUGAAAUGAUAAUGCUAAAUAUUUUUAAACUGCACCAAAGCUAAAGGUCUUACCUUCAAAUCUUCCCCAGGCACGCAUUAAAAAACAAUCCCCGAUUAGUUCAAGUUUUAUAUGUUGCUCUUAGGCCUAUUUGCUCACCCACAUGUGCAGGGGAAUAUUAACAAUAUACAUCAUAUCUCAUGUACAGUCUUAAGUUUUCAAAUGAAAUGAUAGCAAUCAAAUAUGAAUCUUGUAUUUGCACCUCUUUAUUUCACCUGAUUUUCAUAUUUGUGUAAUGUCUGUUCUUCUCUCUAGCUUGUACCAUGCACUUGGGUUCAAGUUCCACUUUCCACAUGCAAGUGUGUCAAGCCUAAUCUAGGAGAUGUUAAACUUCAUAAAUACAGUAGGUUUUUCCUAUCAACUUUUAAGUUCUUAGAUUGUAUUGGUAACCGAUCUCCAUGUAUGGCAACCCUGACUGGUAACACUAGGAAAACUAUAGUAAAAAAUAAUUCUAACAUAGUAUGAGAACCAAGUGGACAAAAGAAUCAGUCAAAUUUAAAAAAGAAAGAGUUAGAUGACCAGUUGGUUGCAGGCCACAUCAAAUUAAAAUUUGACUAAAUGAAGAUGAGUGGCGAUAUGAACAAGAUGAAGACAAUCAUCCUACGCAUGAACAGGAAUGAGAAUAAAUGCUAGGAAAAUAUUCAUGUGCGAGAUUGAAUUAAGAGAGAAUUAAGAAUAUCUUAGUAAUUCAUAUUGCUAAGGAUCGAACGAGUCAAGUGAUAUAUAUCAGGUGUGGCCGAUAACACAAAAAUUUAAGCUUUUGUGAAAAGUGAUCACCCAAUUCAAAACCUUUAUCAUAGGAUGGAAGCAUGUCAUGUGUUCAAAUGCUAUGUAUUGCCCUUCUUUGUUUCAUAUGGUAUUUAAUUCAUAUUCAUAAAAUAUUCAUUGUUCCUUUACGUUUGCCCAAUGUACUUGGGCUCUGGUUCCAUAUGUCUAGCCUACUCCAGAUUUCAUACAAGAGAGGCUAUAGAAGUUCAUAAAUAUAUUGGACACUUUUCUAACAACUUAAAGGUCACAUUGGAAUUCAUCCACCAUAUAUGUUAGCUUGAAUUCUUGUGAAAGAAAAAUCCAACAUGAACCUACGUGCACUGAUAUCGCCAAAUCACAUUCUCGAACUCAAUUUGAUUCCACUUAGUGUACUAUUAAUGAGUUUGGGUGGAACCACCUUGGUAGAAUAGAACUUGAUGGUUAACAGUUCAAACCGCAAACUCACGUGCACUUGCUCGAUCAACUCAAUGAUUCACUAUUAAAACUUGGUCCUCUGGACUUUAUGUUGUGUGGUGAUAAGGAUGACAAUCAUGAUCGUGAUGAUGGAUGGUUGGGUGGGUAACAAUGAGAAUCUUGGAUGGUGGUGAAUCAAAUAGUAGGUUGUUAAUGGUUAAAUCCAAAUUUAACCUCAAAACAAUUCGAUGAUGAAUUUACCACCCAAGGCACUUCUCUAAAAAAUAUUUCGUACUGAUGCAAUAUAAUAUAUUUUGAGUAUUAAUUGCCCAAUCGAGGACAAGAAGUACUAAUUGUCAUCGAUAAUUUGAGAAACCCUUGUUCUAAUUAAACAUGUUUUAUCUCCAUUAUGCAUGUUAAAAGUAUGAGAUCUAGGGCUAUAAACAUACACCAAAAUUCAACAUUAAUCUGUUGACUAUUUUAUAGAAGUUCCAAAUUUUAUAAGGUAAGGGAACAACUAACCUUUGCUUCAACAUAUUUCAACUUGAUAAAGAGAUGGUGCUUUCCUCCCCAACCUUCAGCUAAUGGAUAUUGUGCAAUGUAAUCAGUAGCCUGAAAACACAAAAUGGUAUUCUUCAUAGUUAUUAAAACUUCACAUGCAAACAUGACAUCUGAAAGAAAUGUUCAACAUAUUCCAAUGUAAAAACCCAAUAAAUUCUCUUGACAAAAAAUUAAAUAUAAGCAUUAAUGAUCGCAAAAUAUCACUACCAAGAAGAUAUCAAUUAGACAUGACCAUAAAAUGACCAGAAAAAAGCAUGUUUGUUGAAUAAAGAUUAAUGCUGUCAGGUUAACAUUUUAGUUAGAAUGUAGAAAGGAUAAAACAUGUUUUCUUAUGUUGAAAAUGAUGACAGGAAGUGAAUAUUUCAAAUGAGAAUGUAGAAUUAGCAUAUAACAUGUGAAAAACAUUAUGGCAAUGCAUUGAUGCAACUAUAAACACAAAUAGCAAUGUUACUAACAACGAUAUAAUUAAAGAUCAUCAAAAGCAAUAAACACAAACUGACCACAAUAAUGAUAAUAACAGUAUUGUAGAAGUUCAAAUAACAUGCACUACGAUCUAGCUGGAAUUAAUAUUUCAUUCAAAGAGAAGAUAAAAAUAACCUUGAACAGUAUCAUCAAUCAACAUCGUAAUAAGCACCGAUGAAAUGGUUGGAUAUCCGAUUCUGUCAAAAAGAGCUUCCUAGAAAGAUUAAGCCUCUAUCACUAGUACUGGUUACGAGUCUAUAAGCAAAAAGGUCCACUUAGCAGAUCAGAAUGUCAAUUCUUGAGCCAAAUCCACAUAAAUAAGCACAUGGAGUCAAAUCUUUGAGAGAGAUACUAGAGAUACUUGACUAAUCAGCACAUCAAUUAUUGGUGUUAUUUAAUGGCCAUCCUUCAUCUUAUGACUUAAAAUAGGAAACAAGUGGCCAUUUAGCAAUUUUAUUAUAUUUUCAUGAAUAAUACUAUGUAAGAGAAAGCUCAAGGAAUAGAGACCGGAAGCCAAUUUGGUUUUUAGAAAGUUGGUGUAAACAUUCAAUGUGCAGUUGCUGCAGCAUGGUAACAAGUAUAAUGCUACCACUAGCGAAAAUAGAAAUAUAGAUCAACAGCCAAAUAAAAAAGAGAGAGAGAACCGAUGACAAUUAACAGGUAUUUAGUAGUUAAGGCCAAAAUAAAUCUACUGAUGAUCUGUGGGAAGAAAGAUUGAUUUAGCCAGCUAAUAAAUGAUAACUCAUGGUAUCCACAGUUCCUUGCAUGAAUAAGAAUGAAAAACAUCUAAUACUUGUAAGAUAUUUCACCUAAAAUAGAUAUUACCAUUCAUUGUAAAAAAGUUUAUUUAUUGACAGAACAAAAUAAAAAUGACAUACUGCACAAGGAACAUAAACAACAGAAGUCAAACUAGAAACAAAAUUAAAGAAACAUAAAAACGAAAGUCAAGAUGCAUGAACCAAAUAGCAUUUAAUAUGCAAGUGUAAAAUGACAAUUUCAUAAGCACAUAAAUAAGCAGAAAGUGAUCUGUUGCCACUUGUUUCCCUAUAAUAAAUAGCAAAAGAGUUUUCUAAUGUACAAAGAGGAAAGCAAGCAGGAAGAAGCUGUAGAUGACUAAAGUGUUGAAUUGUAGCACAACCUGUUGCCAGCACUUAACCAUCUCACAUGCUAACCUCCUUUUCACAGCAAGGGUAGCCGUGACACUAUCCAUUGCCAUCCAUAGUUGAAUAUCAACACUCUAAACCAAUCAUGGGAACAGGGAAGGAGAGCAAAUUAGAGUGAGAAAAAUGUUUAUUGCUAGCUCAUGUACAUAGAAGCACAAUAAAGGGACACUCUCAUGUUAAUGCAAAUUCAAAGAUCAUUUAAAUGACAGUUCAGACACUGGUAUCUGAAGAUUUUAGAACACCAAUAUUGUGUAGAUCAUGGAGCUUCUAUAUUAUGCUAAUUUAUUUUAUAGAAUUUUAUCAAAACUGCAAACCAGCAUAACUAUAUUACAAAUAAUAGAUAUAGCCUCAUUAUCGAUACUGAAAAUAGAUAUAACCUGUCUUAAUGGUUCUAUUAUCAGAAAUAUCUACAACAUUACAGUUAAGUUAUCCCAUUCAAAAGAUGCAUUACACAAGUGCUUAUAGGACAUAGAAUAACCAUAUAAUAAAGAACAGAUAUAGUUCCGAUAUGAUACUGAGAAAAGAUAAACUUGUGUCAGUGGCUCUUUAUCAGCAUUAGCUACAAAGUUGCAGUCAACUAAUCACAUAUGGCAGAUGCAUUACUUGAGUGUUCACAGGAUAAUUAAAAAGGUCCAAAUGGUAUAAUUAAGUCAUUAACAUCAUUCGAAAUAUGCAGAAGUCAUUAGGAAAGAACUCUUGAACUGUUUCAUAUCAUAGUUCAAGUGACAGGAAAACAAUUAACUUUGAUAACAUAAAGAACAUUGCCAAUGCAAAAUAUAUCCUUCAUUAUAAGAAAAAUUACUCAAUUGUUUCUGAAAAUUUUGGAGAACAAACUUUUAGCUUCUACAUUUUUUCAGAAACAUACGCUGAAAAGAUACCAAAAUACGAAUGAACAAAAGAAUUGAUUAUAAACAUAUGCUAAAUCCAAAAGAUGACAUUAACCAAACAAAAGAAUUGAACUUGAACACAUACAAAUAAACAUUUUCCACAAGGAGAUUCCAAUAUCAUGAUUAUUUUGUUUUGAUCUCCAUAUUAUAUUGGACCUGAUGUUAUUUUUACACUUAACUCUCAAGUCUAUAAUCAAACUUUGUACCACAUUGACCAUCUUCAUAAGUUCAUGAAUUGGCAACCUGCAUAUUGCUCCUUGCACUAUCUUCACCUAGCAUCGAGCCUUUAUUUUGGAUGCGAGGUGACCAGGUUUGGACACUUCUAUGCAUUUUGUACAAACUGCUACUUCCAUGUGCCAUUAGCCAUGUAUGACCGGUACCCAUUUUUGAAAAACCUAUAUUUUGCAAUUUCUGAAGACAAGUCACUUGACAGCAUGGAUCAGUAUUCUCAUUUUAGUGACAUCAUUAAAUUCAUUUAUCUUAGAUGCUUAUAUAAUAAAUGAUACUCCACCAAUGGUCCUCUUUAUUGCUCAAAACUUCAAAUUCAUAUAUCAGAAUUAGUUCACUUGCAUCUGCAUCUAAAAACUUUCACCAACCAUGCACCCACUGCAGUGCAAAGGUGAGCUACCCGGUGUUAAGUUUGACCUUACUAGAUUGCAUGGCAAACAGGCAUCGAAAAAUUAAAUAAUCGUACAAGAAUAAAGCCAAUCAACACUGGGUACUUGGUUUAAUCAAAAGGUAUAGCAAAAUAAGCUCUAGUCAAGAAAGAGAAUAUAGCCAACAUAGUUUAAAUUAAAAGAUAUUUAUAAAAGAAAAAAGAACUCUUUGACUAUAGGAUGAGCCUAAAUUAUCCCAUAGAAUCAAUGUACAUAACCUAAGAGAAUAAGUACCUGACCCAAUGCUUGAAUAUGAAGAGAGUGGAGCACUCCUUCAGCCAGGUCUACAGGAAGUUCCUUCCUACAAAUUGCAAUAAUGAUGAAAAAAUCAAAGCAUGUCAAUCUCAAAGGGAAACAUCUUAACCCAGGAUCUUGCGUAGAUAACAGUUACAUGUAGCAAAUUAACAAAAUUAAUCUCUAAGAUGUGGCUAAAAUAUUUACUAGAUCAUAACCUCAGAUCAGGAGGAAGUCGAGGAAGGACAUGCUGAAUAGCACAAUCCAAAUAGCCUGCUGCCUUCAAGAAUUUAUCAAUGGAGGUCCUCCUGCUUUCUGUGAAAAUAUCGCUAAACUGAAGUUUCUCCAAGUGAUCAUAAUGUUCACCUCAUACAUCUUGCCACACAAUUUAAAUUUUAUAUGCAGGAAGGAUUUUGUGAGGUGAAAUUGGCAACAUCAAAGAAAGCCACAAAAUAAGAAUGAAGCAUAAUAUCUAAUUAUAUGAACUACACUAAUCAUAUGACUUUUGUGACUAGAUUUAUGUUGUGGCUAACUAUAACAUUUAAAAACAAAUGAUCUCUCUGGAAUCUCGAAUCUGGUUAAUGAUUGUGACACUAACAGUAACAGGUUCGUGAAGAAAGAUCUUACUGGAGCAAAAACAAGGUGAUUGUUUCGUUGGAUAUGAUGAAAGAAAAUGGUACCAGAGAAUAUUUAUGGAAUAUAUCUCAAUCAAGAAAGAAUGUAAUGUUUCUUCAUAAAAAACAAAUGACCUCUUCAACUUCUUGAAGAUCUUAAUGGAACAGAAGUGAGGUAAUUGUCUCUGAGUUGGAUAUGAUAACAAGACCAAUACCAACGAUCUGUGAAAUCUUCUCAAUCAAGAAAGGAUGUGAUCCUUCUUCACUAAAGCAGAUCUGUGGAACUAAUAAAAAGGAUGUACAGACUUCAUUAAGGAUGCAAGGUGAUGUGAAAAAAUGUAAUGAUGCUCUUUUUACUUUUCAAAUCCAGACCUCAAUACCCACCUUCAUAUUCCUUAAGAUGAUCUCCAUCGCCAGAUACUUUGGGAAGAAGCAAUAAGUUGGCCUCAGAGAAACAUAUCAUAGCCAUCAAGUGCAGAACUGAAAGCACCUCAUACCAAGCAUUUGCCAUUUUUGUUUCCUGCAACAGUCACCAAUAAGCUUUUCUUAUUCUAAGAUAAAAACAGCAUAGAAGGUGGAAACAAUAUGUUACAGUACCUCAGCAUCAUCCAUCUGGUUAGCCCAUGCAAACUGUACUUUGUCUGUUAGUUGACUUCCUGCAAAUUGUAGUUAACACAAUGGUCAGAAAGUUGAAACAAAUUGAAUAAAUCAUGAUUUGAGUGCAAAAAUUAAGAUGAUAAAAAUAAAAAUCAAGUCUUCAUAAAACAAAUGAACCAAGUUACCAUCUUUCGCCAAUCCCAGUAGAACUGGUAAGUAGUCUUCCAGAGCCUGCAGAAGAUCAGCCAAACUGGAACCUCCUGCAUGCACAAAAUCUAUUAGGUGCUUGCCUAUUCAGAUUAGCCCAAACAGAGUGGAGUUCACAAAAUCUCAAUCUGCUGACCAUGUUGUGUGGCUGUUUUUCUCCUUGGCUUUGCAACAGUUGGUGCCUCUUGGGCAGCCAUAACUACUAUUUUAGUUCUCAGGGCUGACAGGUGUUCGACUAAACGCUUCGGCAAUCUGUCACCCAGUGACUGAACAAAGUCUACGUUUUUAGGGGCUCGCAAGCCUGGCACGAAGACCGCCACCUCUUCGACAAUCCCUGGCCUUCCUUUGUUUGCAACUGCAUCUUCUGGUUUUGAACCAACGCAUCCCAUAUCCUGGAACUUUGUUCUGCCAGAUGCAAAUUCAAUGAUUGUUAAUGCCUAACAAUUAUCAAACACGUUACUGAUCUUUAUCUUAAUAGAAGAUCGCUCACCAAGCCAUCCUAGGAUAACAAGGAUGUGUUGUCCUUAACAAUAAGGAAUAAGAGAAGCUACUAAAUCAAAGCUAACAGUUCCCUAAUAACAGAUGGGAUGUAACUAAAUUUUCAUACUUGAAGGCGAAAGGCAUCCACAAGCUAAAGCUGAAACGUGGCAUAACAAUCCUGAGUUCAACCAACACAGGAAGGCUGAAGUAAAUGCUAACGACUAAAGCUAUAGGUGACUCACGGGCAUUACCUAAGAACUAGAAUCCAGAAAAUUCAUACUUGGACCAAUCCCACGAGUCCAUCACAUAUAAUUAAAGCAAUCAAGCACUCUCACCUUUCUUAUCCAAUCAGAAGCUAAAUUGAACAGCCUCUUGGUCUCCGCACUAUAGAAUUCGCACGUCACAAGGCAAACAAACGAGAAAGUAAGAAAAAAGGGGCGCUGAAUAGCCACGGAGAAAGAUUUUUCUGAAACUUAACUCAUCUAGAGAUCCUUAGCGAUUACUCGAAGAAAUCCAGAUACAACCUUGAAAGCAAAGCAGGAACUCAAUGCCAAAAGAAGGAGCAACCUUCAUUUGAUUUCCAAACCACUAACUCAAUCGUGCAAAUGAACAUUAGACCACGAGAAAUCACCGACGCAACGCAUCAACCAACGCACGAAAAGAAAGAAAAAUUGAGAUACAACGAACGAGCAGCGAGUGACUUACCACAGAUCUCAGCAAGCAGAGAGCGAUUCAAGAAGCAGAGAGUGAAAGACGAAGACGUUUGGAAUUGCGAUCGGGGAGAGGGCAUUUAAAGGUGGGUGUUGUUCGAGGGCAUUGGUUUGGAUCCCAACGAGCGACCGAUACAUCCCCUUAAUGCCUCUUAAUUUAAACAUAAUGCUUUGUUUGUGAUGUGUCUUUUAUUUAAUGUGGAUGAUGGAAAUGGGGAUUGAUUUAAUAUUCGUGGCUGCAUGAUAUUAACUAUAUUUUUAUUUAAAAGGACAAUGAUUUAUUGGAAUAUAAAACGACAUAUAAAUGCUUUAUGGUUUGUUUGUUUGUAAUAAAUAUAUUAAAUAUUUAAAAACGUUAAAAUAUGAAAUUAUUGAUAGUUUUGUUUCUAACACCCGUCGGUGUCGAGGAAACGUUUUCUCUCGCCCAAAACAGGAAUCAGACAAAGAAGAGACUAUGCACGUCAUACAAAAAACAAAAAAACACUUUCGAGACCUACCGUCACGUGCCGCCCGCCGCCUCAUCGAUCACGGACCUCCACGUGGUGGCUGGGAGUGAGAUCUCCAGCGGACCGACGGCGACCGUCGCUUGGCGGCUUCCUCCCUCGAGUCGAUCACCAAGCAGCUCGCUGCCGCCCUUCAUCUCCAGCCAUCCACGUGUCAUGAGAAGCAAAAAAGAAAUCUCCCUCUCGCUCGUUUGAGACUUUUGAAUCUGAUCGUCGACUUCGUGAAUCUUGAGGCUCUAUGGUUUCUUUGUAAUAAAAAUUGUAGGGAAAAAGUCUAAUAUAUUUACAAAUUUUAAUGUUUUCUUAAAUGAUGGGACUAAUUGGUUUAUGAAUUUCGUUUAGUCUAAACUAUUAAUCAAAAUAUUUAAGUUAAAAUUAUUAAUAAUACAUUCGUAAAACCCUUAUAAGUCAAUCUUAAUCUUGUCCACUUUCGAUAUGGAACUAAAGGUGUUACAGAUAGACUCUACGAUAUUUAAAAUCGACAGAGGUAAAAUAAAAUUAAAUAUUUUAUUUUUAUAAAUAUAAAAAUCCUAACGUAUCUUUUCUUUUUUUAAGUAACUUAUUGAUUGAAACAUGCCAAGCAUAUGCUUACUUGGAGCGCUGCAUCUACAUGAACCUGAAACCUACAAGGCAAAAGAACGACAACAUACGGUACACAACAAAGCUAGCUAUCACUCUCUUAUGCUUCUGCAAACAACUGUUCGAGCUGUUCUCCAGUGGCACGGGGGCCGCUUCGAGUCCAUCCAUCUCUUCUUCUUCGUCAAUGGUGUCCAACACACUCGCAGCCUUGUGCUUCACAACUGGGAUGAUCUCCGGCGGCGCCACCUCCGUCACAAACUGGACGCCAUAGCCCUUCACCAUCUCCGAAUCAAGCAAGGAAGGGAUCGAAGUCUAAGAAGCUUUUUAUUGGCUCAGAAGAGAGAGAGAAAGAGAGAGAGUACCCAAAGGAAGGAGGAGGUCUUCAGGCAGCCUUUGGUGCUCUCCACUUGUCUACCUGCAACAUAUAUUUAUAAACGAGCAGGAAGAAGAGAUGGCUUCACUCCUGUGGACUACAUAGCGAACCACAAUUCAUUAUCACAUGAUUUGCGUGUGCGUUAUUACGGCCACAAGGUUUUAAGCAUGUGGAUCGUUUGGACGUGAGGUUAGCAAUUUGGACGGUCUAUAGAAAGCCACGUGUUUGUUGUGAUUCGGGCAUGUGUACCUUGUGUGACCUAAAGUUAUUAAUUUCUUUUAGCAGGAACAAUUAAUUGAUCUAAGUUAUCUAUGGCAAGUGAAAUGAUUCUUUGUUCUAAUUCCAUUAUAGAAAAUGUUUAUAUGCUAAAGGAUUAAAAAUACAGUAUAUCAUUUUAUACUUUAAUUCAUAUAAAUUAAUAUAAAUUAUUAUUAAAGUGAUUAAUAUUGAUAAAUGAUCAUUUGUUGUUAUCAUAAAAUGACUCAUAAGGAAUUGUUCAUUUUAGAUGGGUUAAUAUAGUUUUAUUAUUUCAAAAUAAAUAAAAAAAAUGAGUUUGAGGGCAGAAAAUGACUCUAACACUUAUAAGGUCUUAGUUCUCAUAUUUGUUAAUCGAUAUAUUUAUUGUCCGUGGAGUUGAAGCUAAGCAGAUCCUUCUUCUAGUGUCAAAUAUAUUGAUAUAAUUUUUAAUUUUCUGAUUGAGAUGUCGAUUAUUUUUGAUAUUUUAAAUCUAAAAUUAUUUUAAAAAUAUGUUUAAUAAAUUUGUUUUAAUAAUUAAAUUAGCUUUAGUUAUGAGAGUUGAAAGUACGAAAGCUUAACAAUUUUACCUUAUAGAGAAAUAUGAAACUAAGAGGAAUUUUAUAGUGUGACUUUAUGGAUGUUAUUUUGGAAGACAAUUAUUGUUGGGACAAUUUCGUUCUCCUCACGAUUCUUUUGAAAUCAUAUCACAUCAAAUCGGGAAAUACAAUAGCUAUGACGUAUUUUAUAAUAUUCGAAAGAUAACUCUAUAUCGACUACAUGAUGUUGAAAUAUUAAACAUGUGACAUUUUAAUAAGUGUGAGUCCCAUGACACUAAGAUAUCCAUCAAUUAUUUAAUGAGCAUGUAUAGACUAUAUGAUUAAGUAGAUGUUAAUCACAUAGCUAUGCGAUGAAUAGGUGUUGCCCAUGACAUCAUUCCUUAUCAAAUAUCAAUUGUUAUACAUACAUAUAUAUAUAUAUAUAUAUAUAUAUGUAUAUAUAUAUAUCAAAACAAUGACAAUGGUUAUCGUUUGAUCAGCAGUCUCAAAAUCGAACCGGUGAAGCAUUACAAAAUCAAUUAACUGCAAUUGGUUUAUGUCGAGUAUCUUCAGUAUAAUGUUUUAUCCAUGUUUGUCGUCUCUAAACCUUCAAUUAAUGAACUUGAUUUGCAUUUACAAAGUCCCUUCAAUUUAAUUCAUUACUAUAUUAACUUAUAGUGUUGUUUAGUGAGAUAAUACACAAUUAUUAUUACUAUCCUCUUUACUAUUUCUUCCCUUCUCCCUCUUGAUCAUAAAUCCUUCUACCUCUUGAUCAUGAUGUAAACAUGAAACUUUUUAUUUGAUACAUACAAUACUAAAUUAUUGAUUUAUAAUUAUAGAAAAAAACUUAUUUUAUUUUUUUUUAAAAUAUAAUAAUAAUAAAACAGUAAGUAAAAAAGAUUUGUAUUAUUUUUUCGUUAUAAUCCGUAAGAAUAAUAGAAUAUGCAAAGAAAAGGUCAAUUUUCUCCGCUUGUAUUUGCUCAAUACUUGUCACGUGUAAUUGUCGUGUGCCGUAUGGUCAAGGCCUGUGUUUAAGAAGUCGGCCAACACAAACAGGCAAAUCAUCCAAUCACAAAUAAACAGUCCAGAAGAUUUAACACGUGGAAUCUUUUUGUCGGUUGAUAUUUACUGUGUGUCUACGACGCUGACACCAGAGAACCACUCCCUCCCGAAAGGUCCCCCAUAUAAUAAAAGUUGCAUCAUUCAUGCACCCAAUACAUCCGCACACAUACCUACCGGCCGAUGGCAGUGGCGGAUGCGUGGCGAAAGCGCUCCGCGUGCUACCAUCGCGUGGGAAAUCGGCGUUCACGAAAGUAUUGACGGAGAAAUAGCAAACAUCCUCCGCCUCUUCUUCUUCUUCUGUGCUCGCAGUAAAGCACGAACAAAACGAAAUUAAAUAUAAAGGAAGGAACUGAGGGGGACAAUAGCAUAAAAGAGAGAGAGAGAGCGCGCUCCGUUUCGAUCGAGGAGGAGAAACCCUAAUGGUGAUGCCCGACGCCUGUAAUGGAUCGAGGCCCCCCAAACCCUGCGUCUGAGCCCGAGAGAUGAUCGAUGAGCGGCGGCCGGGUGGUGCAGAUGUCCGCCUCCUCCAUGGCCCCCGCCGCGCCGCCGCAGCAGCCCCCGCCCACGCUCCCCUCCGCUGUUUCCCGAUCGCCGCCGGCGCACCCCCAGUCCCAUCCCCCCUCUGCCCUCUCCCUCGGCCUCCUCCCCCUCCCCCUGCCCCUCCCCCUCCUCCCCGCCCCCGUCACCCGCCACCCGGCGGGGUCCGAUUCCGUCGAACACGUGGCCCCGCCGGUCGCCAAGGUGAAGCUGGCUGACAUUGUGCCGUAUGAGGGGGCUCCCGGCGGGGUGUAUUCCAAGGCGGUGGAGGAGCUGUCGGGGUCGCUGAUGAGGCACAACGCCGUGGUGAUCGAGCUCGGGAGCGAGGAGGCGGUGGUUGUAAAAUGUGCGCUGGAGUCGGCGAGGAUGUGCUUUAAGGCGAGGGCGCAGUGCAAUGGUGCCGGUAGUGGUGUCUCGGGUUGGGGGAAGUUGGGCCGCGGUGUUUAUACCUAUCGUGCUGGAAGGUGAGAAAAUUAUGCAAAAUUAUGAGCUUAAUACUUUUUUUGCUAUGCUUUCUGUUGCAUAAUUAUAAAAUUAUACGCUUCAUACCCUUUUUGCUUUGCUUUUUGUGGCAUAAUUGUUGAAAAUAAUGACAUAAUGAUCGGACCAAGAUUACUGAACUGAGUGGUAAAUUUUAUAUAAAAAGAUGGCGUGUUUGGUGCAUCCCAUUUGAGCGGACAGUAACCAUAGGAAAUCCCAGCUUCUUAGGUUAGAAGAGAUGGUGGCUAUUUAUUACUUGCAAGUAAUUAAAUAAAAUGCUGAUCUCCUCACAAAAUUUUAUGAACUCCAGUCAGAUCUAGUUGGAGUUCUCCAUCAUCAUUUACAGUUCUCAAAUCCUCAAUGUAUGAAAUAUUUCCUGCCCAAUUUAUGACAACACUUCUGCUCUUAGGUGAGAUCUUUACAAUAUCUCAUCGACCAAUUUAAUUGAAGAGUAAUCUGAACAAACUAUUUGCUUUAAUUCUAAAGGAGCAAGAGAUCCUGGUCAUCAUGUUGACAAUGAUGGAAGCUGUUGCAGUAGUUCAUUGAUUGAACUGUUGUGUACCCAUUAUGUUAUUGUGUCAAGUGUACCACCAUUAAGUUGCAAAUUAUAUUUCUAAGAUACAUAAGUUGGACUACGCGUGUUGCAUAGUAAAGGCAAAUGAUGAAUGAAUUGCCUAGAAGGAGCUUACUAAAGGUGAUAGUAUUUUCUCGAGGCUCUGGAUAGCUGGACUUGGUAUAUUCCUUCACUUUUGCUCUCAUCGUCAUCUUUUUUGUUGUGGUCUUUCAUUGAUUCUUCUGCAAAUGGCCUUUCCAAUUGUACUCCUUUGUUUUGCUGGUGUUGGGCAAUGUGUUUGUUCUAUAUCUGUUGAGAUCUAAACGCAGGGACAUUAGAGCUUGCCCUUUCAUAAUUCAAUGAUGUUGUUAGGUUCUUCUGAGGGCAUUUUGAUUGCUAUUGUAAUAAUAGAAAAUAUGACAAUCAAAAAUUUCAAGAAAUGCUAGCAAGUACUAAUCGACAUUAAACAUAGGGCUAGACUAAGAGGAAAGGGGGAUCAGUAACAGUGCUUCUUGGGUCAUAAAAGGAUCUAUUGCUUCCCAGUAUCAACCACCAAAAUGUCUUAUACUGCAUAUUCUUAAACUAUAACAUGGUUCUAGCUCCAGAGUGAUUGGCAACUUGUAGUUUUGUUCCAACACCUGGUUGUUUUAUUAAGUCAUAGUUUACUGUGAAUCCUAUUAGGGCUUUGGAAGAUGGAGAUCUGUCUCCUGCAUGCAUGGGAGAUGCCUUCAGAUGUAUGGGAAAGGCAGCUCGUGCUUCACUUUGUGCAAUAGCAAGGCAUCUUCGGCUUCGAAGCGAGUAAAAAUAGUUUUUGUUGGUAUUGCAUUUAGUUAACUCCAAAAUGGCUCCAGGGCACUGUAUCUGUUUCUAUGUUGUUUUCUGGUAACAAGUGCUAUAACUUCUGGCAGUGUUUUUAACCAUCUGCUGGAUGAUACCCCAUUGCCUGCUAACGAGGUCUCAUCAUCAGUUCUGAUUGCUGCCUGUUCUCAUGCCUCACAUACUAAUAAUAGCAAGGGCCAAAUUGGAGGAAAAUCUUCCAUUACUGAAGUUGAAAAGGGACUAUUGACAUUAAUUGCCUCUGACAGUCCUGGGAUUCAGGUAUUUAAUUGUUUCAUUUCAAUGAAUAGCAGCUAUUUACAUUGGUUCUGGAGGUUUUGGAUUAAGCUUUAUUUCUUGUAGUUGGCUAUUCAAAGUUUCCUCUCUAGAAAAUGAUUAAUAUUCACAUUUAUAUGAUGUCAUGUAUUGCAUCUUUUAUAGGUGUGCGAUCCAAAUGGUCAUUGGUUCCUAGCGGAUGGGGGUUCAGGUCCUGGAGAUCUAUUGCUACUAACAGGCAGGGCUCUAAGUCAUGCCACUGCUGGUCUCCGUCCAGCUGCCUCAUAUAGAAUGAUCGUUGAGUGUUUUCCUGGUACAGUGACUAGAGGAAGGUCUGAGAUUCCUUUAUGUCUCUGCCUCUGUCUUAUUCUAAUUAUUAUUUUUUAAUUAAGGCCCCUAUUUAUCUUAAUGGCAUCACUCUGGUUGUAGGGUAUCACUGACAUUUAAGCUCAUGCCUCAAAGUAAUGCUAUAUUGGAUUGCUCACCAAUUGCAGUGGCUGGGCAUGUUGCACCCCAGAGUUACCAACCAAUUUCGGUAAGCCAGUUUAUGGAUGACUUGUCUGCUGAAGAAGAUGCCAUGUGCAAUCAUCCUGACAAUAUUUAUGUGAGUUAACAAUUUUUGUAUCACUUGCAUGUGCUUAUCACCCUUUUCAGUUGUUUCACUUUAUCUAUGAUUGAUGUGAGUAGUAAUGUCUACCUCUAGAUAUGAAAUGUCACUUUAUUCUUCAUAUUCUAAUGGGACUUUGGAAGUCUGAUAUUAGUAUGAACACACUUUCCAAGGUUAAACCAACCCAGUAAAAUCAAUUCAGAUAAUUUUGCCAUCUGAUAGAUCUUAACUGUUAAUCUAACAGAUAGCACCCCAACUCCACCCUUUAUAAAAUUUUUAUCUGAAAGUAUAGUAGUAUACAUAGAAUAAAGGGAACAAAAACAGAGAAAACAGAAGAUAUAAAAAGAAAAAAAGGGAUUAUUUGCAAUAAAGAGUUAAACAACCAAAAGUAAGCUUUAUUUCACUCAAUAAUCAGAUGCAACUCAGUGUUGGUUCCCCUUGCAUUUGAUCUCCUUUCCUUUUAAAGGGACUUAAUUUUCUAAUUGGGAACUCAGAGUAAAGGGAAGUAACAGCGGAAGACUUUCGUAUUUGAAAACCAUAGUCCUAGAAAUUCCAAGAUAUUAUGAGGAGACAUUUUACUUUCUUUAAAUAAAAAAUGCAGUGGACAAUGAAACAAGGAUUUUCUGUUCCAUUUUUAUUUCUCCGUGUUAGAUCUUAUGAUACCUGGAUUGGGCUUAUCUCAAUUGACAUCAUUGUUUCAUUAUUUUGUUUUCAUUUUCCUUUGUUUUUUAAGCAUGGGAUGGAUUCAUUUCUCAAACCGUAUUACUAAUGCUCCAUUUCUAAUAAAUUUGAUCUACAAAUCAUUGUUCAUCAGGGCAAUUACUGGAGCACUGAAUAGCAUUGAAAGCGUAAACUUUCUCAACAAAUCUUGACCCAAAUAGAUGGUUUGGGAUUCAACCUAUUGAAAACCCCAUGAUUCUUGCCCCUUGAUAGUUGGGCUUCUUAUUGCUAGUCUUGCAAUGCUGGAUCGUCAUUUCCUUGCAAUGCUGGAUUGUCAUUUCCUCCCAUUCAGUUGUCUAUUCCUCCUCAAUCCCGGUUUUGCUUACCCAAGUGGGUAAUUGAUCCUGUUCCUCAACUCUUUUCUUCUCUUGGUGUUUUUCCUCCAUUCUUAUUUGUGGCAUGUCUGCAUUGGCAUGUGACAUUAUAUGCUCUUCCAAGACUAAAUCCUUGGUUAAGUUAUUUAUCAAACAAAAGGAAAUCUAUUUGAACCAAAUUAUUUGAUGUCUAAAGAAGGGCUGAUCCAAAACUUGAACGUUCAUAAUUGAUUUUUUAUUUAGUUAUGGAAUUUGCAAAUUCAAUUGAUAAGACCAUUUAAUCCCAUUGGUCGAGGAGUAUGGGAAUCAAGAGCUUAUAAGUUCGUCGGGUCUCCCUUACUUUCAGAGGCGUCUUUUGGAACUCACAUGCUCCGAAAGGACAAAAUCGUGCGGGUACGCUCAUCGUCCAAAGUGAAUAAUUCCUCGCGAGCCUACGGGCCGCACAAAUGGUCGGCUGACCAAAUGAUCCCUUAUCAGAUUGGCGCUAGAAGAAGGGUCCGAGGCCUGCACCUCGGUCGAGCAAACCCACUCCUAAGCCGUGGGUAAGAAUUAAUUUAAUAUAAACACAAAAUGGAAAAAAAAGGAUUAAAGGAAUAUAGCGAACAUACUUUAAAGCAUUGACUAUUGUAUUGCUUGAAAUAGUAUGAAAUGGGUGAUACCUAUCGGUCUGGACGUGGAUUGGUACAUAGACCGAAAGUAACGGUCUAGUUCAAUCGAGGGAAAAGAACGAAAAAAACCUAAAUCAAUGUUAGGCUUAUAAAAAAACUAAAAUAACAAUUAGGGCUUGCGAUUGUGAGCCCUCUUCUCGUGACGCCAUUGUCGUUGUUGUUCGAUGUCGUCAUCGUUGCUGACAUUCACUACCGUGUAUCUGCUUGAUAUACUCUCACCUCUUCUCCCUUCUUCCUUCUUCUCCUCCUCCACCGCUUCCUCUUCUUCCUUCUUUUUCUCAUUGCCUCCCCUUCUUCCUUCCUAUUCCUUCUUCUUCCUCCUCUUCCUUCACCACCCCUUCCUCCUCUUCCGCCACCACUGCUACUGUUUUAUGUUAUCACCGUUGACAUUCACCAACAUGUAUCUCCCUAGUACACUCUCUCUUCUUCCAUCUCCUCCAUUGCUUCAUCUUCUUUCUUCUUCUUCCUCCUUCUCCAUAGCUUUCUCUUCUUCUUACUCUUCCUCCAUCGCCUCCCCUUUUUUCCUCUUCCUCCACUGCCCCUUCCUCUUCUUCUUUUUCUUCCUCUCCGAAACACCGAUACGUACCGAUGUACCAAAACAUGGUACAUCAGUACGGAUAGUAUGUUCUAGUCCGACUAAAUCGCUGAAAUGGAUCGGGUACCCUAAAUGAUGAUCCUUGCUAUAGAGACAAUAGAACAUGUGCUUAUGUGAUUAUAUCCCACAAAUGGUCACAUAAACAAUAUACAUAUAUGUUUCAACAUAUACCAGAAUCAAAGCAUUAAAAUUCCAUAUGGAGUUGUUGAAAUGUGAUGUGAGGCUACCACCUAAACUUACACUAUGGUAUAGUAAUGAUCUUGUGAAUUGUGACACCUUGAUUGGAUCCACUUUGGAAGUUCUUGGUUAAUUAUGGGGUAGACGAGCGUUGGAUUAUAUUACAGUGGGAAGCCACCAAUGGAUUAAGCAUCAUAUGGCCUUGUCAAGAAAUGAUUCAAAGUUUUGUAUUGUUCUUUAGGCUUUGACAAGGGCUUCAAGCCAUGACGAUGAUCAUUCCUGCAUAAGAAGUGGGAUGAUGAUGAUGAUAAUGAUAUAGAGAGCUAUAUAGGCCUACCACCAUUGGAUGAGCUCAAACAUUUUGGAUUACAUGGUUCUAAACUUAUUAAAUUGCUGUGUCAAUUUUCUUCUUGGACUGAGUUGUGGCAGAUUACUUUUGCCUACAAUUAUAUAUUAUAUAAACAUUAACAUAGGGAUAUUACUGGUUUUGUACUUGACAAAUAGGCCAAUAAGUAGAUUCUAGGUAAAAGGUAUCUUAGCUUUUUAAUUAUCAGUGCUUCAUCUAAUCAUAGCACAUCAUACAAUGUUAUGUUGACAAAAAAGAUUAAUAAAAUUUAAAGAAAAUUUGGUAAUUUUAAGAAAGGAUGUGAAAGGAAAAGUAAAUGAUAUGAUUAUCUGUAAGGUAAAAGGUGAGGAAGAGUCAAAGUGGUACAUGAAGAAAUAAAUUAAGACAUUUUAGAGAGAGAUCCUAGAGAACAGCCUUGUUACUAAUUUUUCAUAACAACAUAUAGGAUUUUAUUUUUUUAAUCUAUAGCUCUUCAGCUACUAUUGACAUGAUUGCGUCAGAUCUUUUUCUGGACUUCUAUUCUUAUUUCUUAAUUUUGUCACCUUUUAAUCUCUUAAUAACUAUUAUUAAAGACUGUCAUACUUAUGAUCUUGUCUUUUGUUUCUCGGGGACGUAUUUACAUUAUUUGAAAUGCAUUUACAUAAUCAACAAAGUUAACUUACAUGUAUGCCGUAUUGAUGUCGAAACUUAUCUUUUUUCCCUUUUUAUAGUAACUUGAUUUUUUUUUCUUCCAAUUUGCUGUGUUAGAAUGUUGCAUACCGAUUCUUAGAUUGUAUUAGUUUGCUACAUUUCAUGUGGUGCUGUGCAGUAAUUACUUUUGUAUUUUAAGCUGCAUUUGUAGAUGCCAAUGACCAUGAUAUUGCAGGAAACUCAGAAUGAUCCUAUGAAGGAACCAUCACUGAGAAGCAUACUUUCGGACCCUUUGUCGUAAGUCUUCAGUCUCCAUGUGUACUUUUAUAUACUAGUAGUGCUUUUAGAUGUUUGAGCUUAAUUUGUUUUUUAACUGGUUUUAUUUGAUAAUAAUUGUUGACUCAUUAUACUCUUCUUUGUUUGGUGAUGGGUCUAAUAUUGUAACUUGACAUCUUAGUAUUUUGGUUUAGAUCUCAUGUAAGUUAGUUUGUCAUUUUGACUUUGAGCAUGUUCUGUUCAGAAGUAUUUUUUCUUCAAUAAGGAAACAAUCUAAUAACCAUUGGGCAGGUAUUAGUGAAAUGCAAAUGUUCUUUUAUUGAUGUUCUUAAUAAAGUUGUUAUAAGCAUUAACUUCAAUAUUAUAACGGUCUUGAUAAAUAUGAUAUCAUGAUCAGCUCAUAGUUAUUGGUUAUUACAAGUACCCUAUAUAGCAUCUAACAUAAGUCAUCUUCUUCGAGAACUAUCUUUAUCCAAUAUACAUAACUGUGCAUCAUGAUCUACUAGGCACUAGGGUGUUCAAAUCAAACCAAAACAUCGAAUUGAACCGGAUGCAAACCUAAAUCAAACCGGUCCAAAACUGGUUCAGUCUAAACCAGUUCACCAAUAGUUCAUGAUUCUAUUUUGGGAUACUUUUCUUUUGUUAGGUUAAUCGGUUCGAACCGAAUUGAAUUGAUUUUAAUUUAAAAGUUAUCAUUCUAGUUGAGUUUACUGUCUUAAGCCCUUAACUAGUUUAAACUAAUUAAUUAAAUCAGUCUAAAGGUCCAAUUUUAUAAAUGACGUGAGCUCAAUUUCAUAAAUCUUGUCAUGUUAGUCUAAUUGGACCAAGAUUUUGGUUUGGUUUGGUUUAAUUGAACUAAAUUGGUUCAUUUGAAAAAUAUAUAUUAUAAAUUAUUUAAAAUUACAAACCAGUUAAUCGGUUAACCGAACCAGAUUAACCAAAUUUGAAUCAGUUUAGUUAGGUAGGUCCAAAUCGGAUCGAGUUCAGACUACCUUAUAUUAAUCAAAUUGAACCCAAAAAUUGUUUUGGUCUAGUUCGACCCUUAACUGUUCAGUUUGGACUGGUUUGAACACCCCCACUAGGCACUUAGUGAGGAAAUUCCAGGGCACCUUGAGGUGCUCUGAACAAGAUGCCUUCAUUUGGGUGCCUCAUUGUGAGCACCUUAGUUGAGGCGCCGGGCAUUCCACGUGCCCACCUGAGCUGGCUUGAGUGACCCAAAACCCGCAUGCCAGUCCAAACUCAAUCCUCCCUUCCCUUGAUUCAUUCUAAAACCAAUUCCCACUGGGACCCUUUCCAAGCUCAAUUUCCGUCCCCCUCCCCCAAAUUCUUAUCUGUUCCAACCUAAUCCAAACCAAACACUAUCCCACUUGGCCCUCAAUCCAAAUAUAAUGCCUCAACCCAUCCUUCAUAUGAUGUAAUUAUCUCCUUUUACACCUACGGUCUACAUAGCAUUUUUCCAUUGACUUUUCAGCAAUGCUAUAUUUUUGCCAUCAUCUAUGCCUUCAACUCCAUCCGGUACAUCUCCUUUCCUUUCCUCUUCUCUUCCCUCUUUCCUCACUCUAGGUCAUCAAUUUCUAGAUAAUAUUGGGCUUUUUAUACUUCUUUGAGUACCCACCAAAAGUUCAUAAACAAUGUUUUAAAUUUUAAAAUCACUGAAUUCAAUGUUAUGAUUGGAACUAUGUUUUGUACUCAUGAGUAAACUAGAUUUUCCCCUCUUAAGGUGCUCUGUUGCUGCAUCCUCUGUUCUCUAUCUUUGCUCCUUUUAGAUCCUUUCAUGGCUAGAAAAAAGAAGGUUGAGGUUAUGGUUUGAAGAACUUUUAACAACUCACCGUGGUCGCUUGGGCUCGAGCUGUUAGGAAUUGUGAGGAAACUUGAAAUUUCUCUCUCCAUAUAUAUUAAGUUUUUUAGUUUCAUCUUUAGCUCAAUUAAAUGACAUGGUUUAGAUGAUAAUAUAUACUCAUUAAUGGUCUAUACCAAUCAUAUACGUAUUAUAUAUCACUAAUAUAAGUGUAACUACUUAUUUAUAUCAUCUUUUGUUUUAAUUUUCAUCUUGUUUGUAAUAAUAUUUUAUUUAUAGUUAUUACACAUAGUUUGAAAAAAAUAGUUAUUUUGUCAUGGUACAUGCUAAAGUCUAAAGGUUUUAAUUUCAUCCCGUCGACAUCUUUGGUGGAAUCAAAUGAUAUCUUAUGUGUUGUGUUAUGGGUUUAUCACUUAGGGUAUAUUUCUUAAAGAAUAAUAACAUAACCUUUGCACCCAUUGUGUAGAUAAAAAUCAUUUAAUUUAGAGAGCAAAAUAAUAUUUUUUAUAGGGUUUAAGUAAAAUGAUUGCAUGAUGAAUUCUUAAAGAAUAAGCCAUAAUUUCUUUUGUUUUCUCUAAUGGGUCUUGUUUAUUAAUGUAAAAUUAUCAAUUCAGAGGGACAAAUAAAUUCGACUUAGAUCAAAUUUUAUGAUAAUUUAAAAUAAUAAUGAAGUAUCAUUGUAAAAAAUACCAUAGUUGGACAAAUAUUGGACAAAAUAUCAGUGGUUUAAAUAGGUGCUCGGGCGCAUGCCUAGGCACUUAGCUGAGGCGAGGCAAGACCUGAGUGCCUUAAAGAUUAACUAGGCGACGCGCUUUAGUGAAGCGUCGCCUGACCGCUCGCCUGAACCAAGGCACUAAGCUCCUCGUGUGAGCGCUCGGUUGAAACAAAGCAAUCAAACUACUUCGAUUGAAUAAUAGCUAGUUAGUUCGAUUGAACCAAGUUAUAUAAUGUUACUAUAUUUGCACAAAACCCAUCCCUUUGCCCCUUGCGCUACCCCGAGCUAUAAACCCUAGUGCAGCUGUUGCUUCCACCACAAACACUUCCUCUACCGCUGCCUCCUCUGUCGACGUAUAGGACCGACGCUUCCUCUACUGUCGAUGGACUGGUUCGAAGGCCUAGCUUUCGUACGUAGUUCCCUCCGUUGUCGUUGCUUCCAUAUGUAGCUCCUUUUGUUGUCAAGGGAGAGGACUGCAACUUCCUUGACCAUCGAUGGACACAUCCGAAGCUUCCAUCGUCAUCAUUGUUGCUAUUGCCAUUCGAAGCUUUCUCUGUUGCUGCUAUCAUUGUCCAUAGCUUCCUCUACCAUUGCUACUGUCGUCCGAAGCUUCCUCCAUCGCUGCUGUCGUACAAAGCUUCCUUUGUUGCUGCUAUUGUUGUCCGCAGCUUCUUUCGCCGCCGCCGUCAUUGUCGCCAUUAUCCGCAAGUUCCUCCAUCACCACUGUCCUCUCCUUCCCCACUUUCCAUCGUCGAUGAUUCUUUUCUCCCCUCUAACUACUAUUAACAAUAGAUUAUUAACUACUAUUAUCAUAUAAUAGUCCUUAUUUUGAUUUUAGCACUACUAAUCUCUAUUUAUUUAGAACUAUUAUUAGGGUUUCUGGAUUAAUGGCAAGUGUAUAAAGCAAUUUAUAAGAUUCAUCCAAAAAAUUCAAGAAAGGAUCUUGUUUGGAAAUAUAAUUAUCUAAAGGAUCUUAAAGAUCCUAAUGCAGUUAUUUGUAUCUUUUGUAAUAAGACCACUAGAGGUGGUAUUUUUUGUGCAAAGCAACAUCAAGUAGGGAACUUUAAGAAUGCAUCAGCAUGCAAGAAGUGUCUGCUUGGUGUAAAAGCAGAGUUGCUGGCUUAUAUGACCGAAAAAAAAAAGUUGCAAAGGAAUGGAUCUUAUGGGAUUUUACUUGGGGAUAAUAUUGAACAUAUUAGAGGUGAUAAAGAAGAAGAUUAUUCAGAAAGUGUAAAUGCAAGUGGAAAAAGAGUAUAUGACAAAAAAAAAACUAUGAUUGUUUAGAAGAAUAAAAUGGGAUCGAUGGACUUAUAUAUGUAUCAAGGAUCACAGAAGGAACAAAGUUAAGCAAAAGUAAAAUUAAGACAAAUAAAUAUAAGUGAUAUUUAUGAUAAAGAAAAGGGGAAGAACGAUUCAACAUAUUGCUCUUUUCUUUUAUCAGGUUAGACUUCCCCAUAGUGCUUGUCGUUUGGAUAGUUUUAAAGAGAUGAUUGAAGUUAUUGAAAGAUAUGGUGGGAGAUUAAAACUUUCAAAUUAUUAUGAAUUGCGAGUUCUAUUACUGAAAAAAGAGUUGGAUCAUAUAAAUGACUUAUUAAAGGGUCACAAAGAAUCAUGGGUAAAGCAUGGUUCUUCCAUUAUGUCAUAUGCUUGGACCAACAAAAAACAUAGGAGUAUAAUUAAUUUUAUGGUUAACUGUUUUUUAGGAAUCAUGUUUGUGAAAUAAAUAGAUGUAUCAUCUUUUAUAAAAUCUAGAGAAAAGAUAUACGAGUAACUUGACAAGUUUGUGGAAGAAAUUGAUGAACAAAAUAUCGUCCAAGUUAUAACCGACAAUGGAAGCAACUAUGUGUUAGCUGGUAAGAUUUGUCUUUUAAAUUUUUAAAUUUUUUAGUUACUUUAUGUCUCAAAUUUGAAUGAAAGAACUCUCAAGUCUUAUGAAUUUUGUUUUCCUUUGUCUUAUGUAAAUUACUUGAAGUAAAAAGACAACAUCUAUAUUAGACUCCAUUUGUGGCAAAUUGCAUUGAGUUAAUAUAUAAGGAUAUUGGAAAGAUCCAUGAUAUCAAGAAGAUUUUAGAAAGGGCAAUUAUUGUCAUUAGAUUUCUCUAUAAUCAUACUGGGGCUUUGAAUAUAAUGAGAGAAUUCACAAACAAUAAAGAAUUUGUGAGAUAUAGUGUCACCCGAUUACUACUUCCUUCUUGACAUUGCAGGACGUGCAUCGUCAAAAAUAUAACCUGAGAGACAUGUUUACCUCGAGGUAAUGAGUGACAAGCAAAUGAGCAAAAGGAGUGAAAGGCAAGAGGGUCGGUGAUAUCAUCUUAUUGUCGUCAUUUUGAAAUCUUAUAGUUUAUACAUUAAAGAUAAUGAUCCCUUUUGUUUAAGUCCUUCGGUUGGUAAAUAAUGAAAAGAAGCCUACAAUGAGAUAUAUUUAUGAGGCUAUGGAUAGAGCAAAAGAGAUGUUUCAAAAGUCGUUUGAUGAAAAUGAAGAAAUAUAUAAGAAAAUAUUUAUAAUCAUUGACGAAAGAUAGAAUUAUCAACUUCAUCGUCCAUUACAUGCGGUAGGACAUUAUUUGAACCUAUAAUUUUUUUAUAAGAACACCUCCAUUGAGUUCUAUACAAAAGUUGUAAAUGAAUUAUAUAAGUGCAUUGCAAGAUUGGUUCUAAACCUUGAGGUGCAAGACAAGAUCAUACGUGAAUUAUUUUUAUAUAAAAAUGUCGAUGGUCUUUUUGAAAUUCCUUAGCAGUUUGAUCUAGGACAAUUAUAUCCUUAGGUAUUUAUAAAUUUAUAUAAUUAUUUUUAUAUAUAGUAAAUUAUUGUUAGUAAUAAAGUAAAUUUUGUAUUUGAAUGGUGUAGUCUAUUUGAAAAUUCCACCCCGAACUUGUAGUAAUUGGUUAUCAAAAUUCCUACUUUGACUUAUAAUGUUAAAAGUUGUGAGUGAAACUAGAGUAUCUUUGAGCAUGUAUAGAUCACAGAAUAUUUUUGUUUCAGUUAAUCUAUUCUUUUUUAGAUAAAUGUAUUCAUAUGUUUUUAAAUGGUAUGAUAUGAUAGAUUCAGACAAAGGGAAGAGAAAGAUGAUGAUAUGUUUGAGAAUGACGAUGUUGAUUGAAUUUGAUAUAAAGCUUUAUCGCUUUAAGUCUUUUUACAUUCUUGUUAUUAGAAAAUGGAUAAUGUGACUUAGUACCUUAUAUAUCUUCAAUUUAAUAUCAUAUUUUUAUUUAUAUAAUCAUAUUUAUCAAUUGUGUUAUAUAUAUAUUUUUAUAUUUCAAUAUUUCAGAGCGUCUCGCUUCGUUCGAGCAAGUACCUCGAGCAUUUUGGACCUUGGCGCAUAACGCUUUUUAAAUCACUGCAAAAUAGUCUUAAUUAAGUUCCAGGCAUUCAUGUUGAAGAGUGCCAAUUUCUCAUUAUAAGUAUCGAUUGUGGAAUUAGACCGGACCCCACGUAUUGGAUCACAAAUUUACUAUCCAAGUUACAUCUCUUAUAGGAUGAUAGUUCGUAAUGUUUGCAAAGAUAAUGUUGGUGAAAAUCAUUCAUUUAGAAAAAUAAUUUUAUUUUUAACUCUCUUAAUUCUAUAUCAUUGAUUUGUGCAACUUUCUAGUGCCAAUGUGUAUAUAUUUCUUUACCUUUAAGAGUGUUUAUAAUGAGCAGAAGCAGCCCAUCAUUUAUGUUCUUCAGCAAUUCAAGGUUAAAUCUCAUGUAUUAUUGCUAAAGAAUAUACAUGAUAAGCUGCUAUAUAUCUUAAAAGGGAGCAACAUGUUAUUGAUUGGGCAAACCAAAUGUUGUGCUUGAGUGGUACACAUCUAUAUCUAGAGAUAUUACUUUGAUUUAAACUUUCUUAACAUACCAGCUAUACAUGAAUGCUUUUAAUUCUUGAUGUAGCCCACAUUUACCCUUUUGUGGGAAAACUAGGUAAAGUUAACUUUCUUGCUCAAUUAUCAUGAACAUUAGGCAAUGGAUUACUACGAAAUUUACUCUAUUUUCUUCAUAUAUUUCCCAAAGUUAGUUAUAGCAUGGAUACUAAAGAUGAAACUUUUGUCUUGCUGUAUUUUUAAGUGGAAAUUGUUAUCUUUAUUUAAUUUUACGUUGUGUAAUUCCAGUAAGCUCUCAAACUCAUGUUUUACAUGUUUGCUGUUUCAGUGGGGCAUUCCUUGAGGAUGCUAUGGUUGUCUCUUGUGGGCAUUCUUUUGGUGGCCAUAUGCUGAAGAAAGUUAUAGAAAUGGUAUAUGUAAAUUCUCAUCCACUCUAUUCUUUAAGAGCUGUUAUACUGUAUCCAAGACCAAAUAAAGUCACUGGUUUUUGUUUUUGUUGUGCAUAUAAUGUAGGAAGGGUUAAUUAGAAAGAGCUUGUAGGAGCAAUAAUAUAUAGUGUUGAACUUGACCUUUUAGAUUAUAAAACAGUUUAAAAAAUUGAAGUUCAAAAUAGAAUGGAGCUUGUAUUGCCUCAGCCAAAUGCUAGUAAUAUCAUUAAUUCUAGUUCAAAAUGACUUUAAAUUAGCAGUUGAUCUUGACUUCAUUGUGAGUAAUGCAUUUGUAUGAAGUAUGUUCUUUGGGAUCUGGAAAUGAAUAUUGAAGUCUUAUAGAAAGGGCAUUGGUUCUAGAGUCUAAAGCAUACUCUCUCCAAAUGCAUUGUCACAAUAAGGAUCUAGUGAACUUGGUCAAUCUGACCUAAAUUUAUACUGUUUAACUGUGGGUACUUUUAAAAUUGAGGAAAAUACAGGUCUUCUUUGUUUGUUGGUUUAUUCAGUUGUUUAUAUCAUAUGGUUCUUUCAGUUAUUGUUCAUAUUUUCUGGACUAACGAUGAUUAUGACCGAUGCCUGUUUUUGUUUGUUCAUUUUGGUUAUAAAAUCAGGCCAGAUGUAAUAUAUGUAAUGAAGAGAUAGAGACAGGGAUGUUGAUCCCAAACUAUGGUAAAUAGAAAUCAUAAAUAAAUUUUGAGUAAGUUAUAUCUGUAUUAUGAUUGUGGUCCAAGGAAAAGUUCUGUAGUGAUCUUCUUUCCUUUCAGCUGUGCGAGCUGCAGCUACCACAGUGAAGAUGGAGGAUGAUAAGCGACUCUUUCAUAAUGCUGCUCUACGCAAACGUAGGAAAGAAGUUGGUGAACAAAUGGAGGCACUGAAGAGAUUGGCCAAAGUGUGUGGUCUUACAGAUACUGCAUUUUCUUUUCUGGUUUAGAAAGUGUUUAAAAAUCUUUCCUGUUUUAUUUGUAUUGUCUUAUAUACAGGUAAAUGGGGAGAUAGCAGCCGAGAGUGACGGCCCUAGACAACUAAAGGGAGUUCAAUAUCCAUUUGUAGUAAAUGAGAAAGUUUUGAUCAAAGUAUGAUCUCGAGCACAAACUUAACUGUAGGCCUUUCCUUUUUUAUAAGCAAUAAUAAGUUGGUAAGAAUACAAAGGAAAGAAAAUUGACAAUAGAAAACAUGCAGGGAAACAAGCGGACUGCUGAUAAAUUGGUUGGAAAGGAAGCAAUAAUAACAUCCCAAUGCUUGAAUGGCUGGUAUGUUCAUAAGAGUAAUGGCUUUUGAUCUUUUCAAAUACGUCAAUAGAUAUACAUGGUUGAUUGUUGUAACAUAAUGUAAUUAAAAACUGACCUUUUGCUUUUGGAGAACCUAAGCAGAAGCUUUGUUUGCCCACUAUAGUGGGUAGAUUAUCUCAUUGUUGCAGUUUGGAUGUGUGAAUUAGGUCUGAAAAAAUCUUUUAAUUCAAUAAUGUGACUAAUAUCUCAUUCCCAGGUACUUACUCAAGAUUCUGGAUAGUGGUGAAAGUGUUCGUCUGCAAUACCGCUCUCUUCAGAAACUCCCAAGCUCACAAGCAGAUGACAGGAUACAACCACAACCCUUGCUUAUAAGUAGCAAUUGAGUAGAUGGUGCUAUGGUUGCUACUUGGCUACAAGAGUCUUUUGUGAUACAAAUUCUGCUUGUUUUGUAAUUUUUGGACAGUAUUUUUUGCCAGGUUUUUAAUGGACAUUAACUUAUGAAGAAGUUUUACGAUAGGAAAUGAGAAUGCCAAGACACAGAGCAGUGCCUCAACAUAUAGAAAGAGAACAAACAAAAGGUGCUCAUGAAACAGUGGACUUUGUAUCUUGAGCGAAUGAUGUUCAAUUUUACCAUCUUGGUUUUGUCUCCUGCUACUGCAGGUAAUAGAUGUCACACAAAAAAUGAGCCUUAGCAUUCUCCACUUGUACAGCAUCCAACUAGUUAAGCAACGACGAUAAUAGGGAUGAGAAAGUUUGACUUGUGAAAUUAUCCAACUAAGUUAUUCAACCCGCCUUUUUUUGGACAUUUUGGUUUGUUGUCAUUGUUUGUUAUCUUUUGACCCAAGGAUAGUGUGGCAUAUUCUGUGGAUCUGGAUCUUCUCAUGCUGUAAGUCAUCUUUGUGCGUCAGUGUAGAAGUUAUCAUUACUGUAUGAUUGUGUCAUUCCUUAGUCUGAUGCAUUGGUUUGAUCAUAUAAUCCAUUAGUUAGGGAUUUCAAAAAUCCAACUUGGAUUUAUUUUCACAGAUUGAAUAGCUUUAUCUUCGUGUACUUGUUGAUGAUGUUAAUGGAUUACAAGAUACAGUUGCAGAUUCAACUAUGCAACGUGGAUUCCUUUUUCGGUUUCUAGGGAAUGUUUCGGGUCAUAAUGAUGUAUAGGUUGUUGGCUCAUGUAAUAUUGAAAUUCACAGGUAGAUUUCCGCUCAAUAUUUUCACUGUUUCUCUGUCAUUUUUUACCUUUAUCUUCUUAUUUAGAGAAAAGAACAUUGCUGUUUUCAUAUUUUUUUGCCGAGAGUUUUACUCUUUCUCGAAUGUAGUAGUAGAUCAUCGAGUUUAUGCUACCUCCUAAAUAGUGAUUCAAGUUUUGGUAUACCAAAAUAGAUCUUCUUUUCCAUACUUUUCCAGUUACUUUCAGUUUCUCCCUUUCUUUUACUGACUAUUUAUUUUUUCUUGUUUUGUUCUGCACAUGGACUUGUAGUUAUGCUAAAAUUUCUUUCUAAGUUCCUCCACACAAGGAAUCUAACCUUUUUUCUCUGUAAAGCAACCAAACUAUUGGUUGUGCCAACAUCUGGUAAAAUAGUUUAGAUUCUUGAGUAGAUUGAAUCCAAUUGAAUUUGGACUAAGAUUUUAUAUUUUCUAUGUUAACAUUUGGUAAAUUAGUUUAGAUGAAGAUGUCCAGAUCAAUAUUUGGGGUUACUACGAACGAAAGAUAGAAUUAUAAGCAAUAAAGAGUUUCAACAAGCACAGAAUAAUGGGUGGAAGCAUGCGCUGUCCCAUACUUGGUGGUAAUCCAGUUCAACAACCUCAGAAUAAUUGAGUGGGCUGGUAUAGUCAUCAAUGGCUGCUUCGGCUUCCCAUUGGAUUAAGGCCAACGAGAAGGGAAUGGGUGAGAAGCAUUGCAGGAACAAAGGAUACGUGCUGGUGAAUAGUCGACUGUAUGCAGACGCUGAUGGCAUCCUAAUCUCAAAGGAGAGCAACUCACUCCAACAGAUUGUUCUUAACAUCCUGCAUUUCUGAACCGUAUGGUGCAUUUGUGUUUGACUUUUUUUUGCUUUCUAAUGUGUAUUCGAUGUGUAUUCCUCAUUAGGUAGCAACAAUUCAAGAUCUCGUACGAGAUACAUAUACCAUGAUAAACAAUAAACUGAUGUUUGGCUGUGUAUUUACUAUGUUCAUGAAAUUUGUAGAAAUAUGAAAUGGAAAUGUUGUUUCCUUUUGAGUGUGAUUUGAUGUCUCUGAAUACAAGAUUUGCUGUUGCAACUGCGGUUUUUGAUGUCAAAAUCUUGUCGACAGAGAGAAGGUUAUGCUUGGUGUAGUAAAAAGAAAAAUGCAGGAACGCACAUUGGUCAUGAAAAUAUAAGCUCAUAAUAUUUAUCAUAUGAUAAAUUUAGUGUUCUUAUGGAAGCAUUACUGGUUUUAGUUAGUGUCAUAUGAAUCCUCUUCAUGACUAUCCAACAAAAGACCAUCCAGAAGUCAAUACCCCCCCCCCACCCAAAUUAUUUGAUGUGCAUGAGUUGAAGUAGAAAAGGCAGCAACAAUGUUUGCUGAUGGAUGAAUCUGAAAGGAGAAUGAGCAAUGAAAUCCAUGGAGACAACCAUGAGAGCAUCCUCGGUCGGGGGAUUUAGUGAGGUGACAGUGCUCUCAGAGUUAGGUGGAAAUGUGCCGCGAUAUCUGAACUCGACCAACUCAACUUUUGGCAGAAAGAACACAUUCCUGUCUCACUCGCUACAGUAUCAAGAAAGAGGAGAAAGAGAAGUCUUCUCUCUUCAGAGUUCUUGUGUGCAGAAUGUAUCCGUGUUGUGCUUGUAAGUAGUGGAGAUCCCAAUCUCAUCUUCUUGUUGAUUUAAGGGGACUUUCUUCGACAAAAAUGUUGGGGCUUAAUUCUUUGUUAAUUUCUCUUAUUAGGAAAGUCAUCAUUGUUUCUAUGAAAAGGAUCACAAACUUAGUUCUUGUGUUGACAUGGUUUUAUCAUUUGAGGAUUUCUUUCUCCCUAAAAUGUCACCUCACUCGAGCGUCUGACAGAUUGGCCAGCAGGACACAGACGAAUCGUAGGAAAUCUGAAUCAUACAGUCGAUCUUUAGGUGGUGGAGCGCUAUGCAAUAGAGUGGUAGUGAAGACACGGGAGUACGUGCGUGAGUCAACUUGUGGCCAAACUGGGAGAGGAAGCUGUUGUCGUCACUGUCCCUUCCGUGGCUGUCGAAUUAGUCAGUCCUCUCCUGUUGUCCUCCACGUUGAAUUGAAAAAAUAAUAAUAAUAAAUUGAUUUUAUUCCUGAGGACGGAGAUGAAUAUUUAUACAAAAUUUGAAUUUUUUUUUCAAGGAUCGUAAUCAAAUUAAUUUUUUAAAUAAAUGAUUGAUAUUCAAAUAUUGAGGAUAUAAGAAAAUAGAGACGUUAUUUCAUACGCAUGAGUCUUUAUUAUGAUCUUCUAUCAUGUCUUCGUAAAUUUCUGUCAAAGAAUGUCAAGUUUGAUGUAAUUGAAAUGUUUUACGGGCAAGAGAUUUUUUGAAAGAAUCUAUUAGUUGAUCAGAAGUAUGUAUAUAAGAAAUACGUAGUUGAUAUCUAACAACUUAAUAUCUGUCGAAGUGAAAGUCGAUAAUAAUAUAUUUCAUAUGUGAGUGGAAUACUAGAUUGACACAUAGGUAUGUAUAACCAAUAUUAUCAUAGUAUAUUAUAAAAGUAGAAUUAAAGUAAUAUUCUAUUAGUAGAUUGAUGAUCCAAUUGAGUUUUGUAGCGACGGUGAUAAUGACUUAAUAUUCAACUGAUUCAAUUUGCUUCGAAGAAAAUAAUAUAAAUUAAUGAUUAGACCAAUCUAGCUGUAGUAAUGAGCUUAAUUUCUCAUGGCUUGAGAUGCUUUUGGGAUUCAAAAGAACUUGACACGACUUCUGAAUGCAAAUUCCAUGUGGGGUAUCUCUUCUUUUGAAGAUAGGGUUGAGGAGUGCUGGGAACACCUUUUUGUUGUGUAGCGUACCAUCCCCACCUCACGGCGCAUAUCGUCGAACACCUCUGAGGCGGGACAAGGACAAGCUCGUGCCACUUAGCAACAUCCAACACUGAAAUGGUGGUACUUCAGAUCCGGAGACACCCAUUGACUUUAUUUACGAUCUCACAGCGUAGCCGAGAGAGUACUGCUGAAGCUUAAAAGGACGACAACACCUACAUGCGUGCUUAAACCUUAUUCGUGAGACACACGAGCGACACAAGGUUUCUAUGGGGAGUAGUUCGACCCCCCGGUCUCCACGAAGCUCAUCACCUUUUUCCAGGCGGGCCGGCCGGUGAUGUCCUCCCACCACGUCUUGACGUGCUUCUUGUCGUCCAAGAGGUGCGACAGGCCGCAGUUCUCCACGAUGUAGCGGGUGGCGGGGAUGUGGGUCAGGUCGGCCAGCGUGAACUCGUCGCCAGCCAAGUACUUGGUCUUCGACAGCUGCUUCUCGUACACCUCCAGGACCUUGUUGAGCUUGUCCACGGCGGCGCCGGCGUCCGCCUUGUUCGCGGGGAGGCCACGGAUGGGGAGCACGAACAGGUUGAAGACGAUGGGGAACGCCCAGGGGUUGUAGUUGAUGGCCUCCACGUCCAGCCACUGGUCCACCUUCGCUCGCUCCUCCAGCGUCCGGCCGAGCAGGUUAGGCCCGCGGUC
Molecule: long non-coding RNA, 31063 nt
Filed under: Musa acuminata (dwarf banana)
Lineage: Eukaryota; Viridiplantae; Streptophyta; Magnoliopsida; Zingiberales; Musaceae
Description: long non-coding RNA (MACU_LNC001850)
Source: RNAcentral